Molecule: ribosomal RNA, 815 nt
Filed under: uncultured crenarchaeote
Lineage: Archaea; Thermoproteati; Thermoproteota
Description: bacterial SSU rRNA
Rfam family: Archaeal small subunit ribosomal RNA
Source: RNAcentral
UGCGAGUCAACGUAGAAAUACGUGGCAUACGGCUCAGUAACACGUAGUCAACAUGCCCAGGGGACGUGGAUAACCUCGGGAAACUGAGGAUAAACCGCGAUAGGCCAUGAUUUCUGGAAUGGUUCAUGGCCGAAAUCUAUAUGGCCCCUGGAUUGGACUGCGGCCGAUCAGGCUGUUGGUGAGGUAAUGGCCCACCAAACCUGUAACCGGUACGGGCUCUGAGAGGAGGAGCCCGGAGAUGGGCACUGAGACAAGGGCCCAGGCCCUAUGGGGCGCAGCAGGCGCGAAAUCUCUGCAAUAGGCGAAAGCUUGACAGGGUUACUCUGAGUGGUUCCCGUUAAGGGGAUCUUUUGGCACCUUUAAAAAUGGUGCAGAAUAAGGGGUGGGCAAGUCUGGUGUCAGCCGCCGCGGUAAUACCAGCACCCCGAGUGGUCGGGACGAUUAUUGGGCCUAGAGCAUCCGUAGCCGGUACUGCAAGUCUUCCGUUAAAUCCACCUGCUUAACAGUUGGGCUGCGGGGGAUACUACAGCGCUAGGAGGCGGGAGAGGCAAGCGGUACUCAAUGGGUAGGGGUAAAAUCCGCUGAUCCAUUGAAGACCACCAGUGGCGAAGGCGGCUUGCCAGAACGCGCUCGACGGUGAGGGAUGAAAGCUGGGGAGCAAACCGGAUUAGAUACCCGGGUAGUCCCAGCUGUAAACGAUGCAGACUCGGUGAUGGGCUGGCCUUGUGCCAGCCCAGUGCCGCAGGGAAGCCGUUAAGUCUGCCGCCUGGGGAGUACGGUCGCAAGACUGAAACUUAAAGGAAUUGGCGGGGGAG